UCCUGGCUAGCUCAGUCAGUGGAGCACAGGACUCUUGAUCUCAGGGCUGUGAGUUCAAGCCUCACACUGGGAG
This 73-nucleotide transfer RNA is filed under the name Felis catus (domestic cat). It matches the Rfam family "tRNA". Rfam says of the family: Transfer RNA (tRNA) molecules are approximately 80 nucleotides in length. Their secondary structure includes four short double-helical elements and three loops (D, anti-codon, and T loops). Lineage: Eukaryota; Metazoa; Chordata; Mammalia; Carnivora; Felidae. The record is from Rfam by way of RNAcentral.